RNAcentral lists this transfer RNA (73 nucleotides) under Candidatus Pacearchaeota archaeon. RNAcentral's name for it is "tRNA-Gln". It matches the Rfam family "tRNA". Rfam says of the family: Transfer RNA (tRNA) molecules are approximately 80 nucleotides in length. Their secondary structure includes four short double-helical elements and three loops (D, anti-codon, and T loops). Lineage: Archaea; Nanobdellati. The record is from RNAcentral.
AGCCCCUUAGUACAGUGGUCAAGUAUCAUCGGUUCUGGGCCGAUGGACCCAGGUUCGAAUCCUGGAGGGGCUA